CAAUAGCGUAUAUUAAAGUUGUUGCAGUUAGAAAGCUCGUAGUUGGAUUUGUGGCGUACGGUGUGUUCCGGGCACUUGUUGUCUGAGUAACCUGCUGUUGCCAUCCUUGGGUGGAACCUGUGUGGCAUUAGGUUGUCGUGCAGGGGAUGCCCAUCAUUUACUGUGAAAAAAUUAGAGUGUUCAAAGCAGGCUUAUGCCGUUGAAUAUAUUAGCAUGGAAUAAUGAGAUAGGACUUUUUUGCUAUUUUGUUGGUUUGCGCAAGAAGGUAAUGAUUAAUAGGGACAGUUGGGGGUAUUCGUAUUCCAUUGUCAGAGGUGAAAUUCUUGGAUUUUUGGAAGACGAACUACUGCGAAAGCAUUUACCAAGGAUGUUUUCAUUAA
RNAcentral lists this ribosomal RNA (380 nucleotides) under uncultured eukaryote. RNAcentral's name for it is "partial 18S ribosomal RNA". It matches the Rfam family "Eukaryotic small subunit ribosomal RNA", at positions 592 to 976 of the family's 1831-position model. The record is from RNAcentral.